This 185-nucleotide unclassified non-coding RNA is filed under the name uncultured fungus. RNAcentral's name for it is "sequence contains ITS2". The record is from RNAcentral. Lineage: Eukaryota; Fungi.
AACUCUCAACCCCCUUAUUUUGUAAUGAAAUAGGUGCGGGCUUGGUUCUGGCCGCUGCUGAUUCUAAUCGAAUCGACUCGGUUUAAAUAUACGAGCUGUUUCUUAAUUAAAGAUUCACUCGGCGUAAUAACAUUUUUUCGCUGGGCUUUAAAUUAGAACGCUUCUAAUGCGUAUGACACCUAUAU